AACGUUUGACCGUUCGUUUUAUUUAAAAAAAUUUUAUGAUUAGUAUUUUUAUUGUUAUUAGUAGAUGAUAAAACAUGAAAAAAAAAAUUUUAUGUGUCACUAUUUUUUUUUAUUUUUUUAUAAACUUUUCAAAUGAGACGGACGGUCAAAUGUU
RNAcentral lists this microRNA precursor (154 nucleotides) under Oryza glumipatula. Its description in RNAcentral is "MIR812 microRNA precursor family". It matches the Rfam family "MIR812 microRNA precursor family", at positions 30 to 176 of the family's 205-position model. The record is from Rfam by way of RNAcentral. Lineage: Eukaryota; Viridiplantae; Streptophyta; Magnoliopsida; Poales; Poaceae.